Molecule: non-coding RNA, 790 nt
Organism: Drosophila melanogaster (fruit fly)
Lineage: Eukaryota; Metazoa; Arthropoda; Insecta; Diptera; Drosophilidae
Source: Ensembl
GCCAUUCUUUAUUUUUCGGUAAAGGAAGGCUGAAAAAAAUUGGACUUUGUGAUUACUGGGCCAACAAAACCAAGAGGAUCAUGGAACCGUGGGAUUGCGGAUAAAACUAAACGCCUGCAAGUCCUUGAUGUUGACUGAAGGGUUGAAAUUGAGAAAAACACUGAUCAGAUACCGGAUUUCAGGCGAGACCUUUUUGUAAAACCGCCUUCAUCGUCAAACUUCAAAAAUCAUCUUCCGAAAAUCCUACCAAAUCGGCUGGUACAUUUGAACGAAAUUUAGUGGUGAUUUUUCUAUCGGAACUUCUGACAUAUGUACCGUCUGCACGUACUCCUUAAUGAAAGCCUUGUAUUAAACCCUGACUGCUGGACGAUUCCCUAAUUUUUUCUUUCAAGAGAUAAGAAUGCUCGCAGAGCAUACUGUUAGGACUCGGGGAAACCCCCACCCCACAACACCGACAAAGCAGCACAUCAAGACGAUUUAGUUGGGUUUUCUCAUUAAAGCCUUGGCAUUGGAGCGACCGCAGCCUCCGGAAACAACCCAGCCUAUGCGAGUCUUUUUAAAUUAGAGACCAUCCCGGCCGAAGCUUGACUUGAGCAACACACCACCCUGGCAUCCUGGACUGCCCUUAGCAGUAGAAUCUCAGUGACAAAAAAAAUCGAUCUAAUCUAAUCUAUCUAAUCUAUCUAUCUAUUAGCGUCGGAAACAUGGAAUUAAAGUCCAUCUAGUUAGCAUAGCCUAAAACGAAUUUGAUGGUCACAAUCACACGGAGAAAUGCCUUCAACAAAACUUG